This is a non-coding RNA of Pelobates cultripes (western spadefoot toad), 841 nucleotides long. NCBI's taxonomy places the organism in Eukaryota, Metazoa, Chordata, Amphibia, Anura, Pelobatidae. The record is from the annotation of a GenBank genome assembly.
GAUAAAUGUGUCUCUUCUUAGCCUAAUUAUUCUGUUCAGUUCUGGGCAAACCGCCCAAUACAACCACAAGACUCCUCGUUAGGUACAGUUCAGCUGAGCCAGAGAACAGCAAUAGCACUUGCCCCAAACAACGCCAUUAGGACGUCUGUUUAACUGUCUGAUAUAUAACAUACAGGAACAAAUUAGAAUUUAGCAUUCCCUAAUAAUAAAAGGUCAGACAACCUGCUAUUGCCCAUACAAUGAUGUAUUAAUACAUCACAAUAUCUGGUUUCAUAUACUCCUUAAUUUACACAAGGAUCUUCAUUUAUGUGUUAUUUUUCAACAGGAUGCUAACAUAAUUAAUUAAUAUAGAAUCCCCGUUGUCAUUUAGACAUCAAUCAAUUGUAAAUUUUAAUAUUUAGCACAGAAGCUCACUGUUAUUAACAGGUCCAAAAGAACUUCCUCAUUCCUAUUAUUUUUUUAAGUAGCCCUUUCCUUUAAACCAUCCUCCUAACAAAGCAGAAUGUUUUUGUAUAGGCCAGAAUGUUCAUGAGGUCCUACAGUAGGUAAACAUGAGCUUUAGUAGUGGCAGAGCAACCGCUACAUCUCUGAUUGCAGCUAAGGGCAAUACACUAAUGGUUGCACUGCUACCCAAAAGUAAGAAAACUAUUGAUAACAUCAAAAACAUUGUAAUGAGGAAGGACGUACACUGUUUUUCUUGAUGCGUAACUCUGUCUCCCACACACUUGAAUGCUUGCAAAAUGCAUCUAACUUCUUUCUUUCCUGUUUGUUUUUUUGUUUAUUUUUUGUACAUGGUAAUAUUUCUGAUUUGUAUUGUACUCUUUAUAAGUAUACAAUAAAG